Long non-coding RNA from Myotis brandtii (Brandt's bat), 424 nucleotides. RefSeq lists it as uncharacterized. Lineage: Eukaryota; Metazoa; Chordata; Mammalia; Chiroptera; Vespertilionidae. The record is from RefSeq and is a predicted model, not a curated record. The transcript has 2 exons.
AGGCGCGGAGUGUGUCUUCCUGCCUGCCCCGCACCCAGCUGCCCGCCGCUCACCUCACUCCCAGCCCGCUCCCCCUCUGUAUCUGUCUUGAACCGUGGGAAACGCUCUCCCUGCACCACCUCCCUUUCUUCCCCGUAAACCAAGCGUCCUGGGUGUCCCCAGGCCUCGAGAUGUCCCCCAGAGCACAGAGCAGGCAGCUGUCCUGUGGGACUCACCUGAGCAGAAUGCAGGGCCAGUGUGCGGCCACGUCUGUGUCCAGGCGGGGCCCAAGGAACUGGAGGCCAGGCCGGGGCGCAGGGCCGCUGGGAGACCAGACACAGGCCUCUCUGCCACCUGCUGGCUUCAAUGGAUGGUCAAGUGGCUGCACCUGGCUUUGUCCUGGGGGAGGGGGGGGGGAUUGUGGGAAGAGAUAGAUGGUUCAAGG